This 613-nucleotide ribosomal RNA is filed under the name uncultured bacterium. RNAcentral describes it as "bacterial SSU rRNA". It matches the Rfam family "Bacterial small subunit ribosomal RNA", at positions 28 to 638 of the family's 1533-position model. The record is from RNAcentral.
AUUGAACGCUGGCGGCAUGCCUUACACAUGCAAGUCGAACGGCAGCGCGGGGCAACCUGGCGGCGAGUGGCGAACGGGUGAGUAAUAUAUCGGAACGUACCCUGGAGUGGGGGAUAACGUAGCGAAAGUUACGCUAAUACCGCAUACGAUCUAAGGAUGAAAGUGGGGGAUCGCAAGACCUCAUGCUCCUGGAGCGGCCGAUAUCUGAUUAGCUAGUUGGUAGGGUAAAAACCUACCAAGGCAUCGAUCAGUAGCUGGUCUGAGAGGACGACCAGCCACACUGGAACUGAGACACGGUCCAGACUCCUACGGGAGGCAGCAGUGGGGAAUUUUGGACAAUGGGCGCAAGCCUGAUCCAGCAAUGCCGCGUGAGUGAAGAAGGCCUUCGGGUUGUAAAGCUCUUUUGUCAGGGAAGAAACGGGUCUUUCUAAUACAGAGGCCUAAUGACGGUACCUGAAGAAUAAGCACCGGCUAACUACGUGCCAGCAGCCGCGGUAAUACGUAGGGUGCAAGCGUUAAUCGGAAUUACUGGGCGUAAAGCGUGCGCAGGCGGUUUUGUAAGUCUGUCGUGAAAUCCCCGGGCUCAACCUGGGAAUGGCGAUGGAGACUGCAA